Molecule: long non-coding RNA, 824 nt
Filed under: Vitis vinifera (wine grape)
Lineage: Eukaryota; Viridiplantae; Streptophyta; Magnoliopsida; Vitales; Vitaceae
Description: long non-coding RNA (VVIN_LNC008225)
Source: RNAcentral
AAGGUUUGAGAUGAUGCAUACCAGAGGGAGAGUGGAGGAGGUGGCUUCAGAUUUUCGAGUGAAAUAAGAGGAUGAGGGAAAGCUUGACACUCCAAUAGCUCUUAUUGCCAUUUUCUCUGGGGGGAGAGGACUUGAGAAAGAGAUUGUGAGGCUUCCAAGAUAUCAAUCCCACUCCCAAUUUUUGUUUUAAUCAUGAAACACUUCUCGUUUAUGCAUUGGGUUUUCCAUUUUUCUUUCUUUCUUUCUUUUUUUCUACAAAGAAAUGAAUAUCAGAGGAAGAGAGUUAGAGGAGUUGUUUGAUUAAAAAGAGGAGAGGAGAUUGGAGGGAGAGGGAGAGGCAGAGGAGUGGUAAAAGGGACCUCUGCUUUCUCAUCCACACACACCUUGGAACAAUACAUGCCACUGGUUUUUCUUUCUCCUCUCUCUGUCUCUCUCCAAUCUCCAUACCUACAUAUAUAAAUGUAAUUGAUAAGACCUCCAAGAAAGCACAAGUAUAUAUAUACUUCAUUUGUGGAUUUUUAAAGAAUUGUGUUUGAUUUCUAAAAAAUAUUAAAGAAAAAAAAUGUUAUAUAAAUAUUUUAUGUUGGGAUACCAUGAAAGAAAAAGUUAAGAAAAUAACUAAGAGAUAGAUGAAAUAAAAUGUUAAUUUUUAUUUUUUUUAAAGUCCAAGGAAAAUGUAUGGGUUUGGAUAUCAUUUUUUUUUCUAAUUUUUAAAUAUAAAAAAAAUUAUCUUGUACUUUUGAAUUUUUUUUUCAAAAUUUUAAAAAUUUGAGAAUUAAAUUUUAAAAAAUUUAAAAAGCAUACGUAUCACUUUUUUUUUUCUA